Long non-coding RNA from Haliotis rubra (blacklip abalone), 307 nucleotides. RefSeq lists it as uncharacterized. The record is from RefSeq and is a predicted model, not a curated record. The transcript is spliced from 3 exons. NCBI's taxonomy places the organism in Eukaryota, Metazoa, Mollusca, Gastropoda, Lepetellida, Haliotidae.
AUUGCUAAAAGCGGCGUAAAACCAAACUCACUCACUCACUCAAAGAGAAUAAAAUGCAUCCUCGAUAAUCUCCAGAGUAUACGUUACGAUUACUCUCCACUAUACUCUGGAUGCAUCUACGGCUCUGCCCGAUGAUUUUAUUACCUCCAUUUGCUGGCUCCGCAUUCUCACAGUAGCCAGUCUGAUAAACCGCCGUUACAACCGACCUUGCCAGUGUCAACAAAAAUAGCGGUCGCAGCCGCCAAAGUUUGUUCGCAGUGCGACUCAGAUGUUUGGGAAAAACAUGCAGACAAAUUGACAGGUCUGA